This 556-nucleotide ribosomal RNA is filed under the name Cercomonas sp. HFCC540. RNAcentral's name for it is "eukaryotic LSU rRNA". It matches the Rfam family "Eukaryotic large subunit ribosomal RNA", at positions 711 to 1259 of the family's 3401-position model. Lineage: Eukaryota; Cercozoa; Cercomonadida; Cercomonadidae. The record is from RNAcentral.
GAUGCGCAAUGAAAGUGAAGCAGGAUUUAUCCUGUGAGGUAGGAACCGUAAGGGGCACUAUCGACCGAUCGUUCAUUCAUGAAAGAUUUGAGUAAGAGCAUAUCUGUUGGGACCCGAAAGAUGGUGAACUAUGCCUGAUCAGGGUGAAGCCAGGGGAAACUCUGGUGGAGGCUCGUAGCGAUACUGACGUGCAAAUCGUUCGUCUGAAUUGGGUAUAGGGGCGAAAGACUAAUCGAACCAUCUAGUAGCUGGUUCCCGCCGAAGUUUCCCUUAGGAUAGCAAGAACUUAUACAGUUUUAUCAGGUAAAGCUAAUGAUUAGAGGUCCUAGAGUUGAAACAACUUUAACCUAUUCUCAAACUUUAAAUAGGUAAGAAAUCUAUGCUUGCUUUAUUGAAGCUAGAUCUCGAAUGAAAGUUCUUAGUGGGCCAUUUUUGGUAAGCAGAACUGGCGAUGCGGGAUGAACCGGACGUUAAGUUAAGGUGCCAAACUAUUCGCUCAUCUAGAUACUCCUAAAAGGUGUUGGUUCAUUUAGACAGCAGGACGGUGGUCAUGGAA